AAUUUGGUGAUUGAACCUCAGAAAGCGUCACCUGCAACGAUAUCAGUUGUUUUGGAAGUAAACACAAGGACUUGCGUCACUUUUUAAUCUUUUAAGGGUUUUUGACCAAUCUAUAUUACGCCGUAGGUGAAAUAUUCGAUAUGCACAUGAUC
This is a long non-coding RNA of Bradysia coprophila, 152 nucleotides long. The record is from RefSeq and is a predicted model, not a curated record. NCBI's taxonomy places the organism in Eukaryota, Metazoa, Arthropoda, Insecta, Diptera, Sciaridae.